This 446-nucleotide ribosomal RNA is filed under the name uncultured bacterium. Its description in RNAcentral is "partial 16S ribosomal RNA". It matches the Rfam family "Bacterial small subunit ribosomal RNA", at positions 338 to 795 of the family's 1533-position model. The record is from RNAcentral.
CCUACGGGUGGCAGCAGUCGAGAAUUAUUCACAAUGGGGGAAACCCUGAUGGUGCGACGCCGCGUGGGGGAAUGAAGGUCUUCGGAUUGUAAACCCCUGUCAUGUGGGAGCAAAUUAAAAAGAUAGUACCACAAGAGGAAGAGACGGCUAACUCUGUGCCAGCAGCCGCGGUAAUACAGAGGUCUCAAGCGUUGUUCGGAAUCACUGGGCGUAAGGCGUGCGUAGGCUGUUUCGUAAGUCGUGUGUGAAAGGCGCGGGCUCAACCCGCGGACGGCACAUGAUACUGGGAGACUAGAGUAAUGGAGGGGGAACCGGAAUUCUCGGUGUAGCAGGGAAAUGCGUAGAUAUCGAGAGGAACACUCGUGGCGAAGGCGGGUUCCUGGACAUUAACUGACGCUGAGGCACGAAGGCCAGGGGAGCGAAAGGGAUUAGAUACCCUGGUAGUC